CAAGGAAGAGCAUAGUGCCAGACCUAGAGAGUCUCGCUGUGUCACCCAGGCUGGAGUGCAGUGGCAGGAUCUUGGCUCACUUCAACCUCCACCUCCCGAGUUCUGCCUCAGCCUCCCAAGUAGCUGGGAUUACAGGUCCAGUCACUCCACGCUUGCAGAGUCCAAUUAACAAGAGCAAGUUCUGGUAGAAAGAAGGUGACUUUAUUCCAGAGCUCAGGUGUUUGAACUGAUGUCUGAUGAGGAUGAAUCCAGCGACUACCUCUGCCUGUCCAUCCUGGGCCUCUUCUGUUGCCUUCCCCUAGCCAUCCCAGCCGUGAUCUUUUCUUGCCUGACAAAGAACUACAAUAAAUCCAGUGACUAUGAGCUGGCAGCCAAGACCUCCAAACAAGCCUACUACUGGGCCAUCGCGAGCAUCACUGUGGGAAUCUUAGGUACCAUCUUGUACACCUACCUGAUAUACUUACUUAGAUUGUAAACUGCUUCCCAGCUCUUGAACAAACCACCAAAUAUACACCACAGUGCAAUUUACCUUGGCUCUAAGCAUCUACUUGGGCUGAAUGGAACACCUGCUCCUCAAUGUCUGGAGUGCCAAGCUAUCUAAGAUUAGAAAAACAAAAUGCAAAGUGUUCUUCCUAUUCUUACAUGCCCCUCAAAGUAACACUUCUUUUUUUUUUUUUUUUUUUGACAGAGUCUUCCUCUGUCCAGGCUGGAGUGCAGUGCCACGAUGUCGGCUCACUGCAACCUCUGCCCCCAAGGUUUAAGUGAUUCUUCUGCCUCAGCCUCCUGAGUAGCUGGGAUUACAGGUGCGUACCACCAUGCCCAGCUAAUUUUGUAUUUUUAGUAGAGACGGGGUUUCACCGUGUUGGCCAGGCUGGUCUCAAACUCCUGACCUCAGGUGAUCCACUCACCUUAGCUUCCCAAAGUGCUGGGAUUACAGGUGUGAGCCACCAUACCAGGCCUCAGCAUAACACUUCUAACACCAAAUGUUAGAGCCAGGGGCAGGGGUAUUUUCCCCACCUACCAACCAACCAGAUUCUCCAGCAGACACCAACUGGGUGUCCUGUAAUUUAAUUCAAUUCUGACACUAUCUACCUGGAGAUGGCAUCAGAUCCCACAGGUUGAAGGCUCAGUUCCACAAGACUGCCCCCAAAUUUGGAUGUCAGCCACAAGUGGUAAGUUGUCACCUAGACUUGUGACUGACAAGCUAUAAAUCAGGUGUUCCCAUGACCCCCCUCCUCAAGCCUGAUUAAUUUGUUCCAGCUGGCCAGGUGCAGUAGCUCAGGCCUGUAAUCCCAGCACUUUGGGCGGCUGAGGCAGGAAGAUCGCUUGAAGCCAGGAGUUUGAGACCAGCCUGGCCAACAUGGCAAAACCCCGUCUCUACUAAAAAUACAAAAAUUAGACAGGUGUGAUGGCAUACGCCUAUAAUCCCAGCUACUCAGGAGGCUGAGGCAGGAGAAUCGCUUGAACCCAGGAGGUGGAGGUUGCAGAGAGCUGAGAUCAUGCCACUGCACUCCAGCCUGGGCAACACAGCGAGACUCCGUCAAAAAAAAAAAAAACAAAACACUAUUAUCACUCCAGCGAUUCCAAGGGUUUUAGGAGCUCUGGGCCACAAAAUGGGACCUAGACCAAAUAUAUAUGUCACAGUAUCACACAAG
Molecule: long non-coding RNA, 1655 nt
Filed under: Homo sapiens (human)
Lineage: Eukaryota; Metazoa; Chordata; Mammalia; Primates; Hominidae
Description: HSALNT0397644
Source: RNAcentral